This 2100-nucleotide long non-coding RNA is filed under the name Elaeis guineensis (African oil palm). Its description in RNAcentral is "long non-coding RNA (EGUI_LNC030840)". Lineage: Eukaryota; Viridiplantae; Streptophyta; Magnoliopsida; Arecales; Arecaceae. The record is from RNAcentral.
AUUCAACAACAGAAAGAUAUAUUUUCUGGACUUGAUAUUUAGCUUGAAUGGAUUGAAAAAUAGGUAGGAUCAUCCUUUAGCAACCAAUGUAGUCGAGAUGUUUGACCUUUUGUUUUGUAUUUUUAAAUUUGAUAUAUAUACCUUUUGGAAACAUAGAUUUAUUGAAUAUGUGAUCAAUUUGGCUAAUCUUGAUUUGCUUCAUAUCCUCGUGGUCGCAUCAAGGGAAAAUUACUAGGGUGUAAUGGUUAAAGAAAUUUAAAAUAUAUUUGGCUAUGAAUAGAAGUACCUGUGCAAAGUACAUGAGGCCAAUAAACAACCAGAUAGCUAAAGAUAUGAAAAUUUAAGUUUCAUAUGUAAACAUUUUGUGGCCAAGCAUUUUUAAGAAAAAACUAAUUUAGAAAUAAAUGGUCCAUAGUUUAUGUUGUUUGGGAUGGAAAUUGAUUGAUGUGGACCUUUUAAUUUGAAACUUGUAGAUUUAUAUGAUUUUUUUCAUUAUUUAUGUUUUUAUUUUAUUGUUUUCUCAUCCAUGCUUAGUUUCGUCAACGAGGUUUUCACUGGCAGCCUUAUGCCUUAGCAACUAGAGGUUUUGGAUUCUAUUCCUACAUCUGACUUCCCUAAACAUUUAGAUUUAGAUAGCUACAAUGCAGGUAGAUCUUCCUCGCUUUCUCUUUUUCUGAAAAAUAUAUGCUACGUCAUAUCCAGCAUUAUCUAUAAAACCAACUAAAAGCCCGCUUGGAAAAUUCAGCAGGAUUGGGCUGACUUUGCUGUUCAAUCAUGGAUUAGAUGGCGUAUUUAGACGAGGCCCAUAUCAACUUAAUCUUUCUAGCCUAAAUCCUGUCUUUUUUUCCUUUUUGCAAUCCAAUAGAUCUACAUAGAAUAUCAAUAGCAUCGUACCCGUGAUUCAGAAUAUAAAUUAAAAUAAAAUUCGGAGAAUGUGAACAACUACCGCAUACCUACACGGUACUGUCCCCAAAAGCAUGCAAGACUUCCAACCUUGUAAAACUUCAAUAUAAUAUCUAUAAUGGCAAAUUCUAGGCAGUGAUAACAAAACCAGUAACUUGCAUACAUCAAUUAUAACAUCAGCUUUUUUACAACAUUGUAUAUCAGUUUUUUAAAUUACAUCAUUAAACAUAACUAUCUCAAGAACUAACCACUUUUAUAUAGACCGACCAUAUCUCUACAUGCAAAUCCCUAAAAUACCAAGUACGGUUCCAAAAUACUAUCAAUUAGAAAUUAUUCUAAUAAGUAUAUAAUCAUUAAUUUACAAAGUACUAUGAAUACCCGAUGCUUGAAAUACUUAUAAUUCUAUGAUUUAUGUUUGGCUCAAUAAGAUCAGUAUAACAAAUAUAUAGCAUGAUUUCCAAAACAUUGGAUAGUAACUAAAUCAAUAAAUAUUCUCAAAAUAUAUGCAUUUAUUACUUUAUGUAAUUACUUUGAUUAAGUAGAGGUUACUUACCUUGCAGAAAUCCUCUAUCAGAUUAUCUAAAACUUCUCUGAUACUCUUUGGAACCAAUAAUCCAAAUACAUAUAUGUAAUCUGAAAUUAGUAUCACAUUAUUCCCUUGAAAUAAUUUGUAAAACCCCUUAAAAUUUCUAAAAUCUAGAUUUCUGAUUCACUAUUUUUUCUACACAAUAGUUCCAAUCUGAGAUUUAUUUAUCCCAUCAAAUAGCAUCUAAAAAUUCUCAAACUUUGCAAAAUAGUUGAGCAAUCAGUUGACAACAUUUAGUUAAAUUUUUAGAUUAAAACACUUAACCAUUAAAGAAUUAAAAAUCCUAAAUGACCACAGAUAGAUUCAAUCUGCCCCAAAAAUUAGCAUUAAUCUUUCUUUAACAGUCUUCCCCUAUUACUCUAAUCCAUCUUACAAUUAAAUUUCAGAUUUAAAUCAAAUUAAAUAUCAAAAAAGGUUUAGGGUUUACUCACAUUGAUAGUAAAGAGAAUCUCAGAGCAGCAACCACAUCAAAGAAAUAAAAAGCAGAAAAGAGAAGGAAGAAGAAGAGGAAGAAGAGAAGAAAGAAAGAAAGAUGGAGAAAGAGAGAUAGGGCGUGGAGGAAAGAAGGAGAGAAAAGAGAGUGCAUGUGUGAGAGAGAAAGAAGAGGGAGG